GACGAACGCUGGCGGCGUGCCUAAUACAUGCAAGUCGAGCGGAACUGGGGGAGCUUGCUCCUUCCAGUUUAGCGGCGGACGGGUGAGUAACACGUGGGCAACCUGCCCUGCAGAUCGGGAUAACUCCGGGAAACCGGUGCUAAUACCGAAUAGUUUGGCGCCUCUCCUGAGGCGCCACGGCACGACGGUUUCGGCUGUCCCCGCAGGAUGGGCCCGCGGCGCAUUAGCUAGUUGGUGGGGUAACGGCCCACCAAGGCGACGAUGCGUAGCCGACCUGAGAGGGUGAUCGGCCACACUGGGACUGAGACACGGCCCAGACUCCUACGGGAGGCAGCAGUAGGGAAUCUUCCGCAAUGGUCGCAAGUCUGACGGAGCAACGCCGCGUGAGUGACGAAGGUUUUCGGAUCGUAAAACUCUGUUGUGAGGGAAGAACACGUACCAACUAACUAUUGGUACCUUGACGGUACCUCACCAGAAAGCCACGGCUAACUACGUGCCAGCCGCCGCAGUAA
This 512-nucleotide ribosomal RNA is filed under the name uncultured bacterium. Its description in RNAcentral is "partial 16S ribosomal RNA". It matches the Rfam family "Bacterial small subunit ribosomal RNA", at positions 28 to 523 of the family's 1533-position model. The record is from RNAcentral.